This 492-nucleotide ribosomal RNA is filed under the name uncultured bacterium. Its description in RNAcentral is "partial 16S ribosomal RNA". It matches the Rfam family "Bacterial small subunit ribosomal RNA", at positions 29 to 507 of the family's 1533-position model. The record is from RNAcentral.
AGUGAACGCUGGCGGUAGGCCUAACACAUGCAAGUCGAACAGCAGCACAGUAAGAGCUUGCUCUUACGGGUGGCGAGUGGCGGACGGGUGAGGAAUACAUCGGAAUCUACUUUUUCGUGGGGGAUAACGUAGGGAAACUUACGCUAAUACCGCAUACGACCUACGGGUGAAAGCAGGGGAUCUUCGGACCUUGCGCGAUUGAAUGAGCCGAUGUCGGAUUAGCUAGUUGGAGGGGUAAAGGCCCACCAAGGCGACGAUCCGUAGCUGGACUGAGAGGGUGAUCCGCCACACUGGGACUGAGACACGGUCCAGACUCCUACGGGAGGCAGCAGUGGGGAAUAUUGGACAAUGGGCGCAAGCCUGAUCCAGCCAUACCGCGUGGGUGAAGAAGGCCUUCGGGUUGUAAAGCCCUUUUGUUGGGAAAGAAAAGCAGCAGGUUAAUACCCCGCUGUUCUGACGGUACCCAAAGAAUAAGCACCGGCUAACUUCGUG